GAUGAACGCUGGCGGCGUGCCUAAUACAUGCAAGUCGAACGCACAGUUUAUACAGUAGCUUGCUACACCAUAGACUGGGAGUUGCGAACGGGUGAGUAACGCGUAGGUAGCCUGCCUGGUAGCGGGGGGUAACUAUUGGAAACGAUAGCUAAUAUCGCAUAAUAUUGAUUAUUGCAUGAUAAUUGAUUGAAAGAUGCUAUUGCAUAACUACCAGAUGGACCUGCGUUGUAUUAGCUAGUAGGUGAGGUAACGGCUCACCUAGGCCACGAUACAUAGCCGACCUGGGAGGGUGGUCGGCCACCCUGGGACUGAGACACGGCCCAGACUCCUACGGGAGGCAGCAGUAGGGGAUCUUCGGCAAAGGGCGAAAGUCUGACCGAGCAACGCCGCGUGAGUGAAGAAAGUUUUCGGAUCGUAAAGCUCUGUUGUAAGAGAAGAACGGGUGUGAGAGUUGAAAAUUCACACUGUGACGGUAUCUUACCAGAAAGGCACGGCUAACUACGUG
This 505-nucleotide ribosomal RNA is filed under the name uncultured bacterium. Its description in RNAcentral is "partial 16S ribosomal RNA". It matches the Rfam family "Bacterial small subunit ribosomal RNA", at positions 28 to 507 of the family's 1533-position model. The record is from RNAcentral.